CCUUCGGGGAACGAUAACGGCGUCGAGCGGCGGACGGGUGAGUAAUGCCUAGGAAAUUGCCCUGAUGUGGGGGAUAACCAUUGGAAACGAUGGCUAAUACCGCAUAAUGCCUACGGGCCAAAGAGGGGGACCUUCGGGCCUCUCGCGUCAGGAUAUGCCUAGGUGGGAUUAGCUAGUUGGUGAGGUAAUGGCUCACCAAGGCGACGAUCCCUAGCUGGUCUGAGAGGAUGAUCAGCCACACUGGAACUGAGACACGGUCCAGACUCCUACGGGAGGCAGCAGUGGGGAAUAUUGCACAAUGGGCGCAAGCCUGAUGCAGCCAUGCCGCGUGUGUGAAGAAGGCCUUCGGGUUGUAAAGCACUUUCAGUCGUGAGGAAGGUAGUGUAGUUAAUAGCUGCAUUAUUUGACGUUAGCGACAGAAGAAGCACCGGCUAACUCCGUGCCAGCAGCCGCGGUAAUACGGAGGGUGCGAGCGUUAAUCGGAAUUACUGGGCGUAAAGCGCAUGCAGGUGGUUUGUUAAGUCAGAUGUGAAAGCCCGGGGCUCAACCUCGGAAUUGCAUUUGAAACUGGCAGACUAGAGUACUGUAGAGGGGGGUAGAAUUUCAGGUGUAGCGGUGAAAUGCGUAGAGAUCUGAAGGAAUACCGGUGGCGAAGGCGGCCCCCUGGACAGAUACUGACACUCAGAUGCGAAAGCGUGGGGAGCAAACAGGAUUAGAUACCCUGGUAGUCCACGCCGUAAACGAUGUCUACUUGGAGGUUGUGGCCUUGAGCCGUGGCUUUCGGAGCUAACGCGUUAAGUAGACCGCCUGGGGAGUACGGUC
Molecule: ribosomal RNA, 822 nt
Filed under: Vibrio rotiferianus
Lineage: Bacteria; Pseudomonadati; Pseudomonadota; Gammaproteobacteria; Vibrionales; Vibrionaceae
Description: bacterial SSU rRNA
Rfam family: Bacterial small subunit ribosomal RNA
Source: RNAcentral